GAUGUUAUUCUUUGAAUCUAUGCUGAUGCUAAUGCUAACGCUAGCAUUAGCUUUGAGACCUGGAGCUACAGAAGAUAUUUUCUGACAAGUUAAAAGUUGCCUAAAUUUCAGUGCUUACAAAAUAUUUGGAAACAGAGCUAAAGUCGGUCAAUUUUAGCGUGACUAUCAUUAAGAUGUCCCCCUAGAGCAAAUGAAGCUUCAUGAAGGAUUGCUCUGGAGUGAACCAAUUGGAAGAAAGGCUUCAGUGCUUCAAGGAAGCUUCAUCUGCAUCUGCCCAUCACUACUGGAGCUGGAGAGCUGGACUGAAAGGAAGAGGGCACCAUGGAGUUUGAGCAGCUACAGGACAAGAUAAGUGAAGCGUUGGUGCAGCUACAGCCUGAGCAGCUCCAAAAGGCUUUGACCAGCAGAUGGAGCUAAUGUUACACUAUUAAGACAUCCAGACGUGAGCAUGCCCGAGCUGCUUUACUAGGUUUUGGGAAGAAUCUUUCACUAUUGUUUAUGUUUGUUUCUUUACAUAUGUGACCUAUUAGCAUUGCUUCAUGACUGAGACAGAAGAGCAUGUUUGCAUGUUGUCAUGUUAUCUAUGUACAAUCUCAAAACAUGUCUCUGUUCACGUACAGCAAAGCUUCACGUCAGAGAGAGAUAAAACAAAAUCAAGUGAAAUCCUCUGACUGAAAGGAUAGAUUUUCUUUUUCUUUAGAUGUAACUUUUUUCCAAGAUAGAGUACUCCCAACACUUAGCAGUGGCGGGUGAAGAUGUAAUCUCUUUCCUGAUGAACGAGCAGGUUCCUCUCAGGCAGCAGCUCUCGGUGCACCAGAAACUGUGAAAUCGGGAGAAUUUGUGUCUGUGAUUUCCAUCUUCCUACGAGUGUGUGUCUCCUUGUGCAAAUGGUGGAAAAGAUGCAAAUGCUGGAUCUAGAUUACCAGUGGGAAAACAUUAACAGUCUAUCCAUCCAUCCAUCCAUUCAUUUUCCUUACCCACUAUAUCCCUUUCAGGGUCAUGGGGUUGCUGGAGCCUGUCCCAACUACUGUUAGAUGGUUACACCCAGGACAGGUCACAGAUACAACCUUCCGAUGAAUUGACUGAGAGUGUUGAGGAAGUCGGAAACUCCAUUAUCGCGGGCCCCUGAUGAAAACCCAUUAAUGGCUCGGCAGGCAGGAUUGAGGUCGAAGGAGAGACCUCUCAGUGCAGCCGCACACAAAGCCAUAAAGCCUGAUGUAGCGGCCUCUCAUCGAAAAUCUGCAGCUGAGGAAGAAUAACUGUGCCGAUAUCUGCAGACCUGUUGAAAUAAAGGGGGCAUUAACUGCUGCUUCCUCUGCAUUAUUGAUGCAAAGGGCCAUUCCUGAGGCCAUAAUGCCUUCUACCCCCCCUUUGCAAUUUUCUCGUAGACGUCUCGCUGUCUUCAAAACGCUAAGGGGGAAAGAAAGCAUGCAAGACUUUUUUUUUCCCUGCAGGUUUAUUCAAAGCAUCAGUGAGAAGCCGUGAAGCCCCAACAACUCGUGCCACCAGCAGGAAGUGAUAGUGUAACGCAAGGUGCCACCCGCUCUAAUGAGGCCAAAAGAGGCAGAGGUUUCCUCCUCACAUGACACCUUCGGCGCAGAGAUUUUCGAAUCAACUUUGUUGCAAAAAAGAAAAACCUCAUGAGUCACCUCCGCUGCCACCUACAGUAUAUUUGUUGUUGGAGCUCUCCAACACCGUUCGCUUUAUCUUCUGGCGAGCAGCUUGAGACACCUUACAGCUCGGCUGACCUCAUCCUGUCAUAUGAUUUAAUGAGUGGAGCUGUGUCACAAAACGCAGCGUCCGCGGCCUGACAGGAUGGGUCCACACAAUGCUCCGAAGAUUAAUGAGGUCAUCUCCCCUUUCAAUACGUGUAAAAGACACUCAGAGAGGAAGAAAGAAACUCGAUGACUUUUGCAACCACGUAAUAUAAAUGACGCAAAUAGGAUGGGAAUAACAGCUUCUCUAUUCAUGUCAGCAGGGAUUGCUGUGGCCUGGCCUUUGAUUCUGCUCCACUGUGUGGAGUUUCAUGUGAGGUGGAUGCCUUUAGCGUCACGAUGAUAACGCUCUCUCAAGGAGUUUCCAGAUCAAUUCAUUUCAAAAUCCAGAUGCCCGUCUUCCAUCUCCAUACAGCGUUGCAAUGCUUUGUAUUGAUUAUUCCGGCCAUUCCCGUGCUGUAGCGCGCCAGACAAAGGAGAUUGCUUGAGAAAUGGAAGGAUGAUAAUGCAAUUAGACUGAACAGUAGUGCUCUGACGAAAUGGAAGUAGAAUGUCAGGGAUUAACAGAUGGCCUUCAAAACACCCCGCUAUAAGGGGAUGACCACACAAAGUGAAGAAUAGGGAAUUUGUCAACAUUUGCUGGUUUGGAUGGCUCAGGAACAUAAAAACAAUGUAUGCCCAUUUCUUUACUUUAUGGGGUUUUAGUUUGCCCACAGCGAUGGCUUAAGACCAAGAAAGUUUUAUAAAUACGCUCCCUCAUAAAACGGUGUUCCAACUGUCUUCAGCCGCAGGAUUCUGCAAACAGCUCGGAAAAUUAAAAUAAUUGACACUUGCAAAGUCAGGCUAAACUAGAGGAGGAAUGCUAAGUAUUUUCACUCGGUUGUAACUUUUGAAAGUAGUCAGGAACCAGUAAAAGGAGAAGUUCAAGCAAA
Molecule: long non-coding RNA, 2647 nt
Organism: Oryzias melastigma (Indian medaka)
Lineage: Eukaryota; Metazoa; Chordata; Actinopteri; Beloniformes; Adrianichthyidae
Exons: 6
Source: RefSeq, a predicted model, not a curated record